UACGUAGGCCGCAAGCGUUGUUCGGAAUUACUGGGCGUAAAGAGUGUGUAGGCGGUGCUCUACGUUCGGUGUGAAAUCUCCCGGCUUAACUGGGAGGGUGCGCCGGAAACUGGAGUGCUUGAGCGCGGGAGAGGAAAGCGGAAUUCCUGGUGUAGCGGUGAAAUGCGUAGAUAUCAGGAGGAACACCGGUGGUGUAGACGGCUUUCUGGACCGUAGCUGACGCUGAGACACGAAAGCGUGGGUAGCAAACAGG
RNAcentral lists this ribosomal RNA (253 nucleotides) under uncultured bacterium. RNAcentral's name for it is "partial 16S ribosomal RNA". It matches the Rfam family "Bacterial small subunit ribosomal RNA", at positions 524 to 776 of the family's 1533-position model. The record is from RNAcentral.